Long non-coding RNA from Oryza sativa Japonica Group (Japanese rice), 1611 nucleotides. RefSeq lists it as uncharacterized. NCBI's taxonomy places the organism in Eukaryota, Viridiplantae, Streptophyta, Magnoliopsida, Poales, Poaceae. The record is from RefSeq and is a predicted model, not a curated record.
GCUAGCCGCGCAAUUGCGCGGGCUAACCAGCUAGUUUGAUAUCAUCAUCUUCUUAAGAAAUAUAAUAUAUACAUAUACUCUCUCCGUUCAAAAAAAUAAAUAAAUCUAAUACUGUAUAUGACAUAUUCAUAUUAGGCAAAAUUUGCUACAGAACACUGAAAGAUUAUGGUCUUUGCUGUGAGGCACUUGAAGAUCGCGUAUCUUCUCGUGGACACCGUAAAAAAGUAGUAAUUAGCUGCUAGACACUCCUCCCAUUAUUUUAUUAUUUUCGGCCCAAACGGAGAGAGAAACUUUCAUAAAAGACAAGUUUGCCCACGGGUCCACUCGUCAGUCUCCUCUCUUUCUCUAUUCUCUUCUUCCUCAGCAGCGAGUGAUGGCAGAGGUGCCGAGCAGCCACGGCGAGGCCACCCGUCGGACAGCGUUCGGGAGAAGGUGCCGGCGGCGGAGAGGAGUGGUGUGUCUGUGGCACACGCUGGCGGAGGAGGUGGAGACGAGUCCGUCCACAACGGCAUAGAGAUUGGCCGCCGGGAGUGAGGCCCUGCACUCCAGACAAUCCCCGGGAAUGCCGGUGGUAGAGGAGGUCGAUAGAUGUUGUGUGGAUGUGGAGGAUGGCGCGGCGGUGGAGGGGGUGGCGUGGCAGACGUGCUCCAAGGGUCCAAGUGGAGUCCUUCAGAUCGGCGCAGGCGAGGCAGGGGCUGGCCGACACAACAAAGGGGAAGGACGACGACGAGGUCGACCAUGGCGAAGACGGGCACCCCAGUCUCCAGGGCCGCGACUAAAGUAGGUGGGCGGAGGCGGUGGGGGCAGUCAGCGGCCUCCAUCUGGGAGAAGAAGACGGCGACCGGCUCGUGACGCAGUGUGGAGGACGAAGUCGACGAUGAGAGCUUGGACAAAGCCGUUUUCAUCGCCGCCGGCCGAUCUCCUCCUCCAUUGCUCCCCUUCCUAUUCCCUUUCACCACAGGCUUUGCCUCACCGAGGAGAGACCCUUUUUCCCCUUUCCCCUCUCCCUCCACCUCUGAGUCAGGCCACCACCGCCACCACCAUAGCCGGCCAGAACUAAGCUCUUUGUGUUGCCGUUCCGGCCAUCUCCUUUUUCCUCUUUGCUUGACACCACCCUCCCCGGAUGCGCAUCGCCCGGGAACAUCAUCCGUCACCAACGUCGUCGAUCCCCGGCCACUGGAGCACCGACGCCCUUCUCUCUCCCUCUCCUCUGUUACUCGGCUGGAAGGAGGAAGAAGAACAUUGUCAGGGGCAUUUUGUGUCCACGAGAAGAUGCGCGAUCUUCGGGUGUCUCACAGCAAAGACCACAAUCUUUCAUUGUCCUGUAGCAAAUUUUGCCUUCAUAUUAUAGUACAAUGAAUUUGAAAAGAGAUAUGUCCACAUCCAGUACUAGAUUGUUUUUUUAUGGGACGAAUGGAGUAUAUAAUACUAUGAAUCUGAAUAUAUGCAUAGUUAUUCGUGAUGCAAAGAAGAGGGAAAUAGUUCUAUCCCGUCCUAUACGGCUACAUCGUAUAUAAUGACAUAUUGGGAUGCACUUGACCACAUAUUUAUUCUUCGGCCUUAUUAUAUUUAAGUUUUCAAGUGGAAAUAUGUAUAUUUACAAUAUAUAUG